GCAAGGAGCGCACGUAAUCUGCUUCAUCUGCCGAUCUACUUAAGCGCAGCCAUGGAGGAAAGUCAGUUCUUGACCGAUAAAGGUGAACAGUCAGAGCUGCUUCUGAGCAGCACAGUCGACAGCAAC
Non-coding RNA from Dermacentor andersoni, 126 nucleotides. Lineage: Eukaryota; Metazoa; Arthropoda; Arachnida; Ixodida; Ixodidae. The record is from RefSeq and is a predicted model, not a curated record.